Molecule: ribosomal RNA, 929 nt
Filed under: uncultured fungus
Lineage: Eukaryota; Fungi
Description: eukaryotic LSU rRNA
Rfam family: 5.8S ribosomal RNA (bases 571-724)
Source: RNAcentral
CUUGGUCAUUUAGAGGAAAGUAAAAGUCGUAACAAGGUUCCCUUCCGCCGCUCAGCACGGAGACCUUGCAACCCCGAGGGGAGGCAGCACGACAGUAAAUAAAGCUUGCCGUUUGCAAGUCGGUCAAUCGGCCGGGCAACACAAUCGAAUUGACGGGGACCUCCUAAAGCCUGUAGCACCAACCGUCCGGGGAAACUCGGACGGGGCCCUCACGGGGUGGUAAGAGAUUACAGGAUGUAACAAUGGACAAUCCGCAGCGAAGACCCUACCGGCUCCGGCCCACGGGUACCGUUCACAGACUAAGUGAUUGUGGGCGGGGCAAUCGUGCCCUGUCUAAGAUAGAGUCGGACUCUACCCGAAAGGAUAGAGGCUAGCAUGUCCGUAGGUGAACCUGCGGAAGGAUCAUUAAAGAAUGCCCCGUUUUUUGAAAUGGGUUCUAUUCCCAAACCGUGUAUACAUACCUUUGUUGCUUUGGCAGGCCGCCUUCGGGCGUCGGCUCACGCUGACCGCGCCUGCCAGAGGACCCAAACUCGUUUGUCUAGUGAUGUCUGAGUACUAUAUAAUAGUUAAAACUUUCAACAACGGAUCUCUUGGUUCUGGCAUCGAUGAAGAACGCAGCGAAAUGCGAUAAGUAAUGUGAAUUGCAGAAUUCAGUGAAUCAUCGAAUCUUUGAACGCACAUUGCGCCCCUUGGUAUUCCGAGGGGCAUGCCUGUUCGAGCGUCAUUAUGACCACUCAAGCCUAGCUUGGUAUUGGGGUUCGCGGUCUCGCGGCCCUUAAAAUCAGUGGCGGUGCCAUCUGGCUCUACGCGUAGUAAUUUAUCUCGCUAUUGGGUCCGGUAGUUGCUUGCUAACAACCCCUAACUUCUAAGGUUGACCUCGGAUCAGGUAGGGAUACCCGCUGAACUUAAGCAUAUCAAUAAGCGGAGGA